UGGGGAAUUUUGGACAAUGGGCGAAAGCCUGAUCCAGCAAUGCCGCGUGUGUGAAGAAGGCCUUCGGGUUGUAAAGCACUUUUGUCCGGAAAGAAAUCCUUGGCUCUAAUACAGUCGGGGGAUGACGGUACCGGAAGAAUAAGCACCGGCUAACUACGUGCCAGCAGCCGCGGUAAUACGUAGGGUGCAAGCGUUAAUCGGAAUUACUGGGCGUAAAGCGUGCGCAGGCGGUUUGCUAAGACCGAUGUGAAAUCCCCGGGCUCAGCCUGGGAACUGCAUUGGUGACUGGCAGGCUAGAGUAUGGCAGAGGGGGGUAGAAUUCCACGUGUAGCAGUGAAAUGCGUAGAGAUGUGGAGGAAUACCGAUGGCGAAGGCAGCCCCCUGGGCCAAAUACUGACGCUCAUGCACGAAAGCGUGGGGAGCAAACAGGAUUAGAUACCCUGGUAGUCCACGCCCUAAACGAUGUCAACUAGUUGUUGGGGAUUCAUUUCCUAGUAACGUAGCUAACGCGUGAAGUUGACCGCCUGGGGAGUACGGUCGCAAGAUUAAAACUCAAAGGAAUUGACGGGGUCAUAGCUGUUUCCU
RNAcentral lists this ribosomal RNA (585 nucleotides) under uncultured bacterium. Its description in RNAcentral is "partial 16S ribosomal RNA". It matches the Rfam family "Bacterial small subunit ribosomal RNA", at positions 355 to 1375 of the family's 1533-position model. The record is from RNAcentral.